This 238-nucleotide ribosomal RNA is filed under the name uncultured bacterium. Its description in RNAcentral is "partial 16S ribosomal RNA". It matches the Rfam family "Bacterial small subunit ribosomal RNA", at positions 17 to 235 of the family's 1533-position model. The record is from RNAcentral.
GUCAUGGUCAGGAUGAACGCUGGCGGCGUGCUUAACACAUGCAAGUCGAACGAAGCACUUUAUUUGAUUUCCUUCGGGAUUGAUUAUUUUGUGACUGAGUGGCGGACGGGUGAGUAACGCGUGGGUAACCUGCCUUGUACAGGGGGAUAACAGUUGGAAACGGCUGCUAAUACCGCAUAAGCGCACAGCAUCGCAUGAUGCAGUGUGAAAAACUCCGGUGGUAUAAGAUGGACCCGCG